Molecule: ribosomal RNA, 124 nt
Organism: Erinaceus europaeus (western European hedgehog)
Lineage: Eukaryota; Metazoa; Chordata; Mammalia; Eulipotyphla; Erinaceidae
Source: Ensembl
GUCUACAGCUAUACCACCCUGAACAGGCCCGAUCUCAUCUGAUCUCGGAAGCUAAACAGAUUGGGGCUUGUUUAGAACUUGGAUGGGACACAAUGUAUGCUUAUGAUCGAUACAGCUGAUGCCU